AGGAUGAAUCUCUCCUAUGACUAAAUUGGCCAUGCUCUCCAUUGUCGCUGAAAUCACAGAAUGUGACCGUAUUUGAAAUAAUGGUCUCUGCAGAUGGGAUUAAGUGCCUGCUGCUACUAAGAUAUUGAAUAGAUUUGCCCAACGAAUGAAUGGAGUGGAAUGAGUUUUUAUGGACAAUACCUGCUGGUCAAGGAUUUUGCCAGUAGGAGACGGCCGUUGUAACUAAUUGAACCCUCUAGAAGAAAAAUAAUUUGUUUAGGAUAUUGUCCUGUUUUUGACUUCUGAGCCUUUGUGAAUAUACUAUAAUAAAAA
Acinonyx jubatus (cheetah) is the source of this 312-nucleotide long non-coding RNA. RefSeq lists it as uncharacterized. NCBI's taxonomy places the organism in Eukaryota, Metazoa, Chordata, Mammalia, Carnivora, Felidae. The transcript has 4 exons. The record is from RefSeq and is a predicted model, not a curated record.